GUGCUCGCUUCAGCAGUGCAUGUACUACAAUUGGAAGCAAACAGAGAAGAUUAGCCUGGCCCCUGUGCAAGGGUGACAUGCAAAUUCAUGCAGUUUUUUAAAUCUAA
Molecule: small nuclear RNA, 107 nt
Organism: Echinops telfairi (small Madagascar hedgehog)
Lineage: Eukaryota; Metazoa; Chordata; Mammalia; Afrosoricida; Tenrecidae
Source: RefSeq, a predicted model, not a curated record